UUCUCCAACUGAAGACUACAUGAAAAUUUAGGCUUUGAAACAACAAGCCCAUGAAUCUCUCUAAUAAUCAUGCAGUCUUCCAACACAGAGUUAGCCCCGGAUUUAUUUAUUCAAGGUUACAGUUUCUCAUAGGCCAGCUGAAAGGAGAACAAGCAUGAAUGAGUAUUAAAGUAACUGACUUCAUGCAGAACUGAGGGUGAUUCAACCAAGCAAUGCAAAAGGCCACAAAUGUUAAGUAAGAGAAAUAGGACAUCUGUGCUUAAAGUAUUUCUGUUAAUAAGUAAAAAUCAAGUUAAAACAAACCUGGCAUCCUGUCUCAAAUCAUGGUCAAUCUUUAAAAAGGUUCUGUGAUCAUUAGAAAUUACUGGUGUCUGCUACGCUUCCUCAUGGAAGUGUUUUUAAAAGUAUUAGCUGAAGGGGAGUAAACAUACAAUCAAGAAUUCAUGGAGAAAAUUGCAUUUUUGUAA
RNAcentral lists this long non-coding RNA (467 nucleotides) under Bos taurus (domestic cattle). RNAcentral describes it as "long non-coding RNA NONBTAT009201". The record is from RNAcentral. Lineage: Eukaryota; Metazoa; Chordata; Mammalia; Artiodactyla; Bovidae.